GGCGGACGGGUGAGUAACACGUGGGCAACCUGCCUGUAAGACUGGGAUAACCCCGGGAAACCGGGGCUAAUACCGGAUAAUACUUUCUUUUGCAUAAAGGAAAGUUGAAAGGCGGCUUCGGCUGUCACUUACAGAUGGGCCCGCGGCGCAUUAGCUAGUUGGUGAGGUAACGGCUCACCAAGGCGACGAUGCGUAGCCGACCUGAGAGGGUGAUCGGCCACACUGGGACUGAGACACGGCCCAGACUCCUACGGGAGGCAGCAGUAGGGAAUCUUCCGCAAUGGACGAAAGUCUGACGGAGCAACGCCGCGUGAGUGAUGAAGGUUUUCGGAUCGUAAAACUCUGUUGUUAGGGAAGAACAAGUACGAUAGUAACUGAUCGUACCUUGACGGUACCUAACCAGAAAGCCACGGCUAACUACGUGCCAGCAGCCGCGGUAAUACGUAGGUGGCAAGCGUUGUCCGGAAUUAUUGGGCGUAAAGCGCUCGCAGGCGGUCCUUUAAGUCUGAUGUGAAAUCUCGCGGCUCAACCGCGAACGGUCAUUGGAAACUGGAGGACUUGAGUACAGAAGAGGAGAGUGGAAUUCCACGUGUAGCGGUGAAAUGCGUAGAGAUGUGGAGGAACACCAGUGGCGAAGGCGACUCUCUGGUCUGUAACUGACGCUGAGGAGCGAAAGCGUGGGGAGCGAACAGGAUUAGAUACCCUGGUAGUCCACGCCGUAAACGAUGAGUGCUAGGUGUUAGGGGUUUCCGCCCCUUA
Molecule: ribosomal RNA, 759 nt
Filed under: Oceanobacillus sp.
Lineage: Bacteria; Bacillati; Bacillota; Bacilli; Caryophanales; Bacillaceae
Description: bacterial SSU rRNA
Rfam family: Bacterial small subunit ribosomal RNA
Source: RNAcentral